RNAcentral lists this ribosomal RNA (207 nucleotides) under uncultured bacterium. RNAcentral's name for it is "partial 16S ribosomal RNA". It matches the Rfam family "Bacterial small subunit ribosomal RNA", at positions 568 to 774 of the family's 1533-position model. The record is from RNAcentral.
CACGCAGGCGGUCUUGUAAGUUUGACGUGAAAGCUCCCGGCUUAACUGGGAGAGGUCGUUGAAGACUGCAAGACUUGAGGCAAUGAGAGGGGUGUAGAAUUCCCGGUGUAGUGGUGGAAUGCGUAGAUAUCGGGGGGAAUACCAGUGGCGAAAGCGGCACCCUAGCGUUAGCCUGACGCUCAUGUGCGAAAGCGUGGGGAGCGAACG